UACAAAGUAUUUAUUGUCGUACAUGAUAAAAGUGAAUUUUGUUUUAUUCGUUUGUACUAGAAGUUUAAUAGUAGUAGUUUUAUCGCAUCCUAGAAUGGCCACCACAAAAUUCUGAUAGGCACAGUUCACUCAGACACUUUUUCUCGUUGUCACUUUCGAUUGAGUGCUCAGGAGGUUGGCUGCAUUGUUUCACUGGAUAGCUAUCCUACAUCAACUCAUCAGCGUGCCAUGCUGGGCAUGGUCAAAAUGGUGCCCAAGAGAGGGACAGAGGACACUCGGUGGACCACCAACCUGAUGGACGGAUAACAUAGUGCGGAACGCGAAAGCAGUGAAGUCGUACACUCUUGGCAUAAUGACGGUGGAUCGUCGAUGAGGCCCUCCUUCGCGAUUGAGGUCCUCGCAAUAUGUCUCCAUCUACUUCUGUUCGCCGCCGAGCGAGAGCAUUCCACAAUAGAUUGCUGUGUGGCUGUUUUGAUGAGGUGUUAUAGUAGAUACCUAUCAAGUAUUACGACACACCCUCAACGGCGAUCGGAUCGGACCACCUAGCACGACGCAAGAAGGUGCGCUACCGAGAAAGACACCUGCGUCGAGUCAGCAUUUCAAUUCCCGCAGCAAAAAUACCCAUUUCCUUUAUGUUUGAUUUUAUAUAACUUCACUUACGGAUCACACAUCGAU
Galleria mellonella (greater wax moth) is the source of this 675-nucleotide long non-coding RNA. RefSeq lists it as uncharacterized. The transcript has 4 exons. Lineage: Eukaryota; Metazoa; Arthropoda; Insecta; Lepidoptera; Pyralidae. The record is from RefSeq and is a predicted model, not a curated record.